ACGACAAUGAUGGUGAUGAGCGAAGAUGGAAAGACCGGCGAUGACGACAGCGAUGGAGGAAGAAGAUGAAGGCUCUAUCUUUUCUAAGGAAAGACGAAAGCUAAUUGUCGAUAGGAGAAGAUAAGACCUCACGUCAGAAGACAAUGAUAGCCGGUAGAUGGAAAGUCCGACACAGACCAUGGAGGUCAGUGAUGAACAGAGAUGAAUGGAGGUCGGUGACUUUGAACGGUGGUGGUGUGGGUGAGAGGAGGUGAAUGGAGGUCGGUG
Molecule: long non-coding RNA, 267 nt
Filed under: Elaeis guineensis (African oil palm)
Lineage: Eukaryota; Viridiplantae; Streptophyta; Magnoliopsida; Arecales; Arecaceae
Description: long non-coding RNA (EGUI_LNC063357)
Source: RNAcentral